GGUGGUUUGUCGCGUUGUUCGUGAAAUCUCACGGCUUAACUGUGAGCGUGCGGGCGAUACGGGCAGACUUGAGUACUGCAGGGGAGACUGGAAUUCCUGGUGUAGCGGUGGAAUGCGCAGAUAUCAGGAGGAACACCGGUGGCGAAGGCGGGUCUCUGGGCAGUAACUGACGCUGAGGAGCGAAAGCGUGGGGAGCGAACAGGAUUAGAUACCCUGGUAGUCCACGCCGUGAACGGUGGGUACUAGGUGUGGGUUUCCUUCCUUGGGAUCCGUGCCGUAGCUAACGCAUUAAGUACCCCGCCUGGGGAGUACGGCCGCGAGGCUAAAACUCAAAGAAAUUGACGGGGGCCCGCACAAGCGUCGGAGCAUGUGGAUUAAUUCGAUGCAACGCGAAGAACCUUACCUGGGUUUGACAUGCACAGGACGCCGGCAGAGAUGUCGGUUCCCUUGUGGCCUGUGUGCAGGUGGUGCAUGGCUGUCGUCAGCUCGUGUCGUGAGAUGUUGGGUUAAGUCCCGCAACGAGCGCAACCCUUGUCUCAUGUUGCCAGCGGGUAAUGCCGGGGACUCAUGAGAGACUGCCGGGGUCAACUCGGAGGAAGGUGGGGAUGACGUCAAGUCAUCAUGCCCCUUAUGUCCAGGGCUUCACACAUGCUACAAUGGCCGGUACAAAGGGCUGCGAUGCCGCGAGGUUAAGCGAAUCCUUUUAAAGCCGGUCUCAGUUCGGAUCGGGGUCUGCAACUCGACCCCGUGAAGUCGGAGUCGCUAGUA
RNAcentral lists this ribosomal RNA (768 nucleotides) under uncultured Mycobacterium sp. RNAcentral describes it as "bacterial SSU rRNA". It matches the Rfam family "Bacterial small subunit ribosomal RNA", at positions 574 to 1340 of the family's 1533-position model. Lineage: Bacteria; Bacillati; Actinomycetota; Actinomycetes; Mycobacteriales; Mycobacteriaceae. The record is from RNAcentral.